AGUGGCGACGGGUGAGUAACACGUGGGCAAUCUGCCCUGCACUCUGGGAAAGCCUGGAAACGGGGUCUAAUACCGGAUAUGACCAUCUUGGGCAUCCUUGAUGGUGUAAAGCUCCGGCGGUGCAGGAUGAGCCCGCGGCCUAUCAGCUUGUUGGUGAGGUAAUGGCUCACCAAGGCGACGACGGGUAGCCGGCCUGAGAGGGCGACCGGCCACACUGGGACUGAGACACGGCCCAGACUCCUACGGGAGGCAGCAGUGGGGAAUAUUGCACAAUGGGCGAAAGCCUGAUGCAGCGACGCCGCGUGAGGGAUGACGGCCUUCGGGUUGUAAACCUCUUUCAGCAGGGAAGAAGCGAAAGUGACGGUACCUGCAGAAGAAGCGCCGGCUAACUACGUGCCAGCAGCCGCGGUAAUACGUAGGGCGCAAGCGUUGUCCGGAAUUAUUGGGCGUAAAGAGCUCGUAGGCGGCUUGUCACGUCGAUUGUGAAAGCUCGGGGCUUAACCCCGAGUCUGCAGUCGAUACGGGCUAGCUAGAGUGUGGUAGGGGAGAUCGGAAUUCCUGGUGUAGCGGUGAAAUGCGCAGAUAUCAGGAGGAACACCGGUGGCGAAGGCGGAUCUCUGGGCCAUUACUGACGCUGAGGAGCGAAAGCGUGGGGAGCGAACAGGAUUAGAUACCCUGGUAGUCCACGCCGUAAACGGUGGGAACUAGGUGUUGGCGACAUUCCACGUCGUCGGUGCCGCAGCUAACGCAUUAAGUUCCCCGCCUGGGGAGUACGGCCGCAAGGCUAAAACUCAAAAGGAAUUGACGGGGGCCCGCACAAGCGGCGGAGCAUGUGGCUUUAAUUCGACGCAACGCGAAGAAACCUUACCAAGGCUUGGACAUACACCGGAAAAGC
Molecule: ribosomal RNA, 895 nt
Filed under: Streptomyces sp.
Lineage: Bacteria; Bacillati; Actinomycetota; Actinomycetes; Kitasatosporales; Streptomycetaceae
Description: bacterial SSU rRNA
Rfam family: Bacterial small subunit ribosomal RNA
Source: RNAcentral